UACGUAGGGAGCAAGCGUUGUCCGGAAUCAUUGGGCGUAAAGCGCGCGUAGGUGGCCCUGUAAGUCCGUUGUGAAAGUCAAAGGCUCAACCUUUGAAAGCCGAUGGAUACUGCAGGGCUAGAGUACGGAAGAGGCGAGUGGAAUUCCUGGUGUAGCGGUGGAAUGCGCAGAUAUCAGGAGGAACACCAAUAGCGAAGGCAGCUCGCUGGGACGUUACUGACACUGAGGCGCGAAAGCGUGGGGAGCAAACCGG
Molecule: ribosomal RNA, 253 nt
Filed under: uncultured bacterium
Lineage: Bacteria
Description: partial 16S ribosomal RNA
Rfam family: Bacterial small subunit ribosomal RNA
Source: RNAcentral